ACGGGUGAGUAACGCGUGGAUAAUCUACCUCGUUCUGGGGGAUAACCCAUCGAAAGGUGGGCUAAUACCGCAUAAUCCGGCUAAUUUUAGAAUAGGUCGGCAAAGGUGGCCUCUUGAUCAAAGCUACCGGGAAGAGAUGAGUCCGCGUCCCAUUAGCUAGUUGGUAGGGUAAUGGCCUACCAAGGCGACGAUGGGUAGCUGGUCUGAGAGGACGAUCAGCCACACUGGAACUGGUACACGGUCCAGACUCCUACGGGAGGCAGCAGUGAGGAAUAUUGCGCAAUGGGGGAAGCCCUGACGCAGCGAUGCCGCGUGAGUGAAGAAGGCCUUCGGGUCGUAAAGCUCUGUCAAGUGGGAAGAAUAGCUUGUGGACGAAUAAUCCACAGGUAUGACGGUACCACUGAAGGAAGCACCGGCUAACUCCGUGCCAGCAGCCGCGGUAAGACGGAGGGUGCAAGCGUUAUUCGGAUUUAUUGGGCGUAAAGAGCGUGUAGGCGGCCGGUCAAGCCAGAUGUGAAAGCCCAGGGCUUAACCCUGGAAGUGCAUUUGGAACUGGUUGGCUUGAGUUCGGGAGAGGGAAGUGGA
RNAcentral lists this ribosomal RNA (585 nucleotides) under uncultured bacterium. RNAcentral describes it as "bacterial SSU rRNA". It matches the Rfam family "Bacterial small subunit ribosomal RNA", at positions 102 to 665 of the family's 1533-position model. The record is from RNAcentral.